This 73-nucleotide transfer RNA is filed under the name Cardiobacterium hominis. Its description in RNAcentral is "tRNA-Thr-GGT". It matches the Rfam family "tRNA". Rfam says of the family: Transfer RNA (tRNA) molecules are approximately 80 nucleotides in length. Their secondary structure includes four short double-helical elements and three loops (D, anti-codon, and T loops). Lineage: Bacteria; Pseudomonadati; Pseudomonadota; Gammaproteobacteria; Cardiobacteriales; Cardiobacteriaceae. The record is from RNAcentral. RNAcentral also lists the same sequence under 3 other names.
GUCCAUAUAGCUCAGUAGGUAGAGCACUUCCUUGGUAAGGAAGAGGUCACCGGUUCAAAUCCGGUUAUGGGCU